Molecule: non-coding RNA, 80 nt
Organism: Octopus sinensis (East Asian common octopus)
Lineage: Eukaryota; Metazoa; Mollusca; Cephalopoda; Octopoda; Octopodidae
Source: the annotation of a RefSeq genome assembly
GAACAUGGCCGAGUGGUUAAGGUGAUGGAUUAGAAAUCCAUUGGGAUCUCCCUGCAUAGGUUCGAAUCCUAUCGGCAACG